CAGCAGCCACGGUAAUACGUAGGUGGCAAGCGUUGUCCGGAAUUAUUGGGCGUAAAGGGCUCGCAGGCGGUUUCUUAAGUCUGAUGUGAAAGCCCCCGGCUCAACCGGGGAGGGUCAUUGGAAACUGGGAAACUUGAGUGCAGAAGAGGAGAGUGGAAUUCCACGUGUAGCGGUGAAAUGCGUAGAGACGUGGAGGAACACCAGUGGCGAAGGCGACUCUCUGGUCUGUAACUGACGCUGAGGAGCGAAAGCGUGGGGAGCGAACAGGAUUAGAUACCCGCGUAGUCCCUGUCUCUUAUAC
Molecule: ribosomal RNA, 301 nt
Filed under: uncultured bacterium
Lineage: Bacteria
Description: partial 16S ribosomal RNA
Rfam family: Bacterial small subunit ribosomal RNA
Source: RNAcentral